Molecule: long non-coding RNA, 416 nt
Organism: Megalobrama amblycephala (Wuchang bream)
Lineage: Eukaryota; Metazoa; Chordata; Actinopteri; Cypriniformes; Xenocyprididae
Exons: 4
Source: RefSeq, a predicted model, not a curated record
CCCAUCAGCAACCAGACUCAACAUCUGGACAUCACUCACCUCUGUCAGAUACAUCCAGAUCAGCGUCUACAUUUUUACAUAGUGCUGAUCUCUACUCCUGCUGGAUCUUUACUGAUUGUUGCUGUAGUUGUGAUUUGCUGCAUCUGCAAGAAAUGUAGAAAAACAGUUCAGAACCAGGAUGAAGACAGAACUGAUUCAACAUUGUAUAAACCAACAACACGAAAAAAGAAAUCAAAGACGGACGCUGUGUAUGAAAAUGUCCCCAAAAAACAGUGAUCUAAUACUGAAUCUACUGGAACUGAUGUUAGAGGACAAUAACUCACUCUUUUGGUUUUGUUCACAUUUAUUCUAUGACAGUAUGUCAGUUUAGUCUUCACUCUUUGUAUUGUAACUUUUGGUGUUAUUGUGAUGUAUGA